Molecule: long non-coding RNA, 637 nt
Filed under: Mytilus galloprovincialis (Mediterranean mussel)
Lineage: Eukaryota; Metazoa; Mollusca; Bivalvia; Mytilida; Mytilidae
Source: RNAcentral
UAUCCAUUUGCAUAAAGCAUCGUGUUUCCGCGAUCAGAAAUCACCAAUUAGAUUCUACUGAAUGUUUACAACAAUACGUAGUUGAUGACACCAUUGACAAUCAUUAACAUAAAACAUUUAAAAUAGUUACUUAGAGAAUUGUCCCUGCACUUGAAAGAAACCGAAAGGACAGAGAGGAUCUGAUAGUUUAUUCACACAAACAGGUAGGCAGUGUCAUCAUUCAUUAUUUUUAUAAUAUAUUUUACAUUUUUUUAAAUAACAUAAAGCGAGUUUAUAUCUUUUAUUUUUAUUUUAAAAAUAUCUUUUUAUCUUAGUUUACUAGGAUAUUCUUGAAGUACUUGAUAAUCUUAAUAAUUAAUAUACCAGUUUUUAUAGAAGAACAAAUGGAAAAUAAUAUAUACUAUUUAGACUCUAUUGGAUGUUCCUCUCUGUGGCAAACCUUAUUCCUAACCCACCACAUUUUUAUUUUUAGACAUAAAGAAUGAAACUUGUAUGCAAAAGCCGAAUCAACAGUUGUCUUAUACUAACAUUUUGUGUUGUGUCUGUAAUUGGAGCUGUUAAAUCACAGAGUACAAAACCUGCUUUUAUCCGAUUUCUUAGACGCUAUCAAGAUGAUAAAUUCCAAUCAGGACCACAG